GUCUUCGUGGUGUAAAGGUAGCACAAUCGGCACGUAUUGGAAAGGUUCAGGUUCGAGUCCUGGUGAGGACA
RNAcentral lists this transfer RNA (71 nucleotides) under Stegodyphus mimosarum. It matches the Rfam family "tRNA". From Rfam's summary of the family: Transfer RNA (tRNA) molecules are approximately 80 nucleotides in length. Their secondary structure includes four short double-helical elements and three loops (D, anti-codon, and T loops). Further hydrogen bonds mediate the characteristic L-shaped molecular structure. tRNAs have two regions of fundamental functional importance: the anti-codon, which is responsible for specific mRNA codon recognition, and the 3' end, to which the tRNAs corresponding amino acid is attached (by aminoacyl-tRNA synthetases). tRNAs cope with the degeneracy of the genetic code in two manners: having more than one tRNA (with a specific anti-codon) for a particular amino acid; and 'wobble' base-pairing, i.e. permitting non-standard base-pairing at the 3rd anti-codon position. Lineage: Eukaryota; Metazoa; Arthropoda; Arachnida; Araneae; Eresidae. The record is from Rfam by way of RNAcentral.